UACGUGAGGUUAUAAAGCCUUAAGAGGUGGCCCAGCUUGUCCGGUAGGAUUCUGUCAUCGGAUCAGGCGAUGAUUCUGGGCUCGGGCCUUCAUGGACCCAUAUAUUACAUGUCAAAAAUUAGUAAAGGGGAAAAUACAAAAAUGUCUUGAAGGAAAGUACCAACCUUUUAUAUUUUCAAUAUUUUUGCCACCUUUCAUAUUCUUUAACUGACAAAUUCUCCGAAACAUUCCUUUCAUUGAAAAAAUUGAAUUAAAUUAUUCAAAAAUUGAUUUCCAUCCCCACCAGCCUCCCCCGCCCCAUUAGCGCCUAUCCUACACCGAUAUUCUUGCUCUCUUUGUAAUUAUAAAUCUCCUCAAUCUCCUUUUCAAUUCUCUCACUUGCUAUCCUUUUAAAUUAAAAAUGAUCAGGAUUAAGAAAUCCACCGAAAGAAUAAACCCACCAUCAUUAAGAAGAUAACAACCAACAAGGAGUGAGUUGUUGUUGAAUGGCUACCCACACGACUACAAACCUCAGGAACGACCUCUGAACAAUUGAAGGCGCAACCAAUAUAGCAAUUGUUGUAGCAACCCAAGGAGAAAGAACAUGAGGUGUGGGCUUACAAAGUUAUUCCUAAGAUACGUGAUGAGGGUAUUGCAACGGUUGAUAACCCUGUUAUUGCAUACAUAACACACAUAUUGGGAUGAACUUCUACUAAACAUCCAAGUUUCAAAGAUCUCUGUGAUUCCAUAUUUGGGGAAAAAAAAGAAGUUUGAGGCAAUACAAUGGAUUUUAAAGGCAACUAUGAAUGAAUUGAGAUAGGACUAUAUGCGUUUAUGGCGUAAUGGCCAUACCAAACGCUGAUUCCUAGCCCCACCAAUCGUGGAGCUAGUUGAGCCAAUUGUGGAGCCUGCAGCAGCUCAGUCAGUACUAGGAUGUCAUCAUAUGGGCCUAAUGACGCCAGUGUAAGUGCCAGGGCUUUAAUGAUUAUUCUAUUGAUUUGUUUGAUAAAGAUAUGGACAAUUGUACAAAUGUUUACAAGCAACAAACAAACAAACAAUAAUUAGUUUUACAUGAUAGUUCUUAAUGAUAAUGACUAAUCAAAUAAAAAUUUCUUUUAAAAAGCUA
This is a long non-coding RNA of Ziziphus jujuba (common jujube), 1105 nucleotides long. RefSeq lists it as uncharacterized. NCBI's taxonomy places the organism in Eukaryota, Viridiplantae, Streptophyta, Magnoliopsida, Rosales, Rhamnaceae. The record is from RefSeq and is a predicted model, not a curated record. The transcript has 3 exons.